AUAAAUGUUCAAAAUCAUGUCGGCUCCUGGUUUUAUGUAUAUCUACUUGUACUUUUAAUUAUGGUUGCACCAAGCAUGUAUUGACAUUUUUCCAAUGCAUUCCCCAGAAUAUUAAUAUUUAUAAAAGCAGAAAAUAUAGAAGAUCGUAUUUAAGGAAGUGGCAAGUGUACACAUCCAACUAAUCUAGCAGUUGAGCGCUUCCGUGCCUUUUCCUCAGUCCAGUGAAAGAGAAACAUAGAAGGACCAUAAAAAUCUGAGGGAUUACUCCAGGAAAUGUAUGUUAAUGAAAAGGAAAGACGGGACCAAUAGAAUAGUUCCAGGGGAGUCUUGUGACCAUGAGAUGCAGCAGCAGCCUUCACGUUAAGUUUGUUUCAUUUCCACUAUUUAUUUAGACAAAAAACCUGGCUGAUCUCUCAUAGAUUUGUCUUGUGUACUCAUGUGUACCUUAGCCCACCAUCCAGCUCCGUUCAUGAUACAGUGACAAUGCCUGGCUGCCACUAAAAGCUGUGGGAUACAGAAGGGUCUCCAUCUUGCAAUGGCAUCAUAUUUAAAGAUCCUCCAAUUCUGCAGAAGUUUGCAUAGGAAGAAGCAUGAAGAAGAGAUAAUGUUCACCAAAUCCCCCCUGCAGAAUUCAGCACAACCUCCCAUCCUAUUUCAAAGGUUUGCAACCAUAUAUAGCAGAAUUUUAGUUGUUGCGGGAGAAGUUCUUAACUUUAGUUUCCUUAACUUCAUAUGUUUGAGUACAGUGGGGUCUUGACUUGAGAACUUAAUCCGUAUUGGAAGGCGGUUCUCAAGUCAAAAUGUUCUCAGGUCAAAUCUGCAUUUCCCAUAGGAAUGCAUUGAAAGCCAUUUGAUCCGUAUCUGCUCUUUUCCGUCCAUAGAAACUAAUGGGAAGCUGCUAUUCUGCCUUCGACCACUAGAGGGUGAUAUUUUGUUUCUUUUUUUUCUUAGGUCAAGAAAGGUUCAGGGAAGGCAGGGAAAAUACAGUCCAGGCAGUACAAGUACCAGGCAGUCUGAAGACUGUCUCCCAAUCCACUCUCUAAACGCUGGGAGGAGUGAGGAAGCAGACAGGCACCUUUUUCACUGGCCAACAGUUAACUGAAAGUUCAAAUUUUGCACUUUCCAUGCCUCCCACAUGGGUUUUUUUCAGUUCUUAACUCAAAUCUAAGUAUGUAAGUCAAGUCAAUAUUUUCCUAAGAGAGUGGUUCUUAAGUCAAAAUGUUCUUAACUCAAGCCGUUCUUAAGUCAAGACCCCACUGUAUUUGGAUGUUGUAAGCUACUUUAUCAUGCCUUUAAACAGAAGUAAUGAAACAGCUAAACAUAAAAAGGUAUAAUGCUUUUCAGACCUAGCUUUUUAUGUCUAACUGUAACAAAUAUAUACAC
RNAcentral lists this long non-coding RNA (1383 nucleotides) under Pogona vitticeps (central bearded dragon). Its description in RNAcentral is "lncRNA (ENSPVIG00000014561.1)". The record is from RNAcentral. Lineage: Eukaryota; Metazoa; Chordata; Lepidosauria; Squamata; Agamidae.